CAUUAAGAAGCUAUGCAUCAGCACUAGCCUUUUAAGCUAGAGAGAGGGGACGCCUCCCCCUUAAUGA
RNAcentral lists this transfer RNA (67 nucleotides) under Gallus sonneratii (gray junglefowl). RNAcentral describes it as "tRNA-Lys". The record is from RNAcentral. Lineage: Eukaryota; Metazoa; Chordata; Aves; Galliformes; Phasianidae.